RNAcentral lists this long non-coding RNA (1592 nucleotides) under Mytilus galloprovincialis (Mediterranean mussel). The record is from RNAcentral. Lineage: Eukaryota; Metazoa; Mollusca; Bivalvia; Mytilida; Mytilidae.
AUUGGAUUUUAUGUGAAGAAAAUAGUUUCCUGAAAACAUGUUUUAUUUCUGUUAUUCAUAGCAUUUUUUAUUUUUCAAAUUUUACCCUUUGAACACAGUAAUUUAAUUUGACAUUUCAUAUUUAUGUGGCUGUCAUUUUUUUCUUCAAAUUUUGCAUUUAGAUCAAUUUUGUAUUUUGAGUUAAUUUUCAUCACAAGUCAAAAGUUUAAGGUGGUACCUAACACUACAGGGAGAUAACUCUGUAAAAUCAGCUAAACGUUUUAAUUAUGUUGUGUUGUUAAGGAAAUAUAAAGCUUCUCAAUGAUCAAAAUUAGUGUUUGUCAAACUGCUAUAUAACCAGUGUCAAAGGGUCAAAGUAAAUACUUUUAUUUAUUUUAUGAAAAUUAAACGAGCCAAUUUAAGUUUAGGGAAAGUGUUGGGUACCACCUUAAAUAAGUGAUUACUUAUGUUUUUUUUUGUCUUGCGUAAUAAGAAAUGAUCUGAAUAUUUAAUUUUACUACCCCUCUUUUACAUAUAUUUUAUUAGUUUUAGUCUUAUAUCAUUCAUGCAUUAUUUAUGUAAUAUUUAUUAUUAUUUUUUUCAUAAUUAUACUGAUCUCAAGAAGUCAUAGAUUUAGCAAUUCCUGACAAAGUACAUUUUAGUUUAUAGAAAUACGUGAAUAAUCAACUGAUUACAAAUGAACUCCUGUAGUAGUGUUGUCAAUAUUCCUACCCAAACUGAAAUAUUCUAAUUUCUUCCUAAAUAGGCACAGCUUCUCUCAGGGGUAAACCUAGAAAUUUGUCCUGAGUCUGGAAUUUUCCAGAUGAAUAAAAGUAUUAAGAUAUGCCAAAAGAUCCCUAUUGACAAGGUUCUUGACUUGGGAGGGGCACAUGAAAAUGUUGUUGGAAGACCAUUUUUUUUGUAUCUCAAUUCUCAACCCAUCCUUCUUUUCAUUCCCAAUCAGAAGAGUAACAACACAUACUUAAAAAAAAACAUAAAAAUAAAAACCAGUAAAGGAAAGGAACUUAACUCUUGAAAAAAUAUAUAAUAGAUUAUAAAAAUGAGAAUGAUUUGCCAAGAUGAUGUUGAUGUUAUUUAAGAUAAUAAGAUUUUCAAUUGUUUUUGUUGAGCCUGCAACUUUUGUCGCAAAAGCGAGACAUAGCGAUCCUACAUUUGGUCGUCGUCAGCAACAGCAAAAGUAGGCGAGACACUGGAUUCCGCGGAACCCUUAUGAAUUUUUUAAAAUUUAAUGGAUAAGUUAUCAAACUUAUAAAUAAUCAUGUGAAACUGUUAACACCAGCCAAUAAAUAAUAUUGUCAGAAGCCUGUAAAUCAGUGGUUGUGUUUGUUGCUUUAUGCAAUAUUUGUUUUUUCUCUUAAUCGUUUUUGCAUUGAACUUGCAGUUGGUGGUUUUGCUUGAAACGUUUCCCAUUUUGUCUGCUGGGGCCUUUUGUUUUAGCUGAUUAAAUGUAAUGGGUUUUACUCAUUGUUGAAGGAUGUAUAGUUACCUAAAGCAGAGGCCUUUCCCUAUAUAAAGGUAUACAGGGAGGUGCCACUGGUAUAAGUCUUGUUUUUGAAUGUCUAUUAUACUGAUGGGGUACAAUUGUACAGGGG